AACGAACGCUGGCGGCAUGCCUAACACAUGCAAGUCGAACGAGACCUUCGGGUCUAGUGGCGCACGGGUGCGUAACGCGUGGGAACCUGCCCUUAGGUUCGGACUAACUCCCCGUAAGGGGUGCUAAUACCGGAUACUGUCUUCGGACCAAAGAUUUAUCGCCUUUGGAUGGGCCCGCGUUGGAUUAGCUAGUUGGUAGGGUAAAAGCCUACCAAGGCGACGAUCCAUAGCUGGUCUGAGAGGAUGAUCAGCCACACUGGGACUGAGACACGGCCCAGACUCCUACGGGAGGCAGCAGUGGGGAAUAUUGGACAAUGGGCGAAAGCCUGAUCCAGCAAUGCCGCGUGAGUGAUGAAGGCCUUAGGGUUGUAAAGCUCUUUUACCCGGGAUGAUAAUGACAGUACCGGGAGAAUAAGCUCCGGCUAACUCCGUG
This 433-nucleotide ribosomal RNA is filed under the name uncultured bacterium. Its description in RNAcentral is "partial 16S ribosomal RNA". It matches the Rfam family "Bacterial small subunit ribosomal RNA", at positions 29 to 507 of the family's 1533-position model. The record is from RNAcentral.